Molecule: unclassified non-coding RNA, 254 nt
Filed under: Glomeraceae sp.
Lineage: Eukaryota; Fungi; Glomeromycota; Glomeromycetes; Glomerales; Glomeraceae
Description: partial contains 5.8S ribosomal RNA and internal transcribed spacer 2
Rfam family: 5.8S ribosomal RNA (bases 1-71)
Source: RNAcentral
GUGAAUCAUCAAAUUUUUGAACGCAAAUUGCACUCUCUGGCAUUCCGGGGAGUAUGCCUGUUUGAGGAUCAGUAUAAUCAAAAUCUGAGCUAUUCUUUUUGGGUGACGCACCGUGGUGUGGGUCAUCGUAACGCUUUUUUUUAAUAUACCUAAAAUUAACAUUCUUUUUGGCUCACUUUUUAGACGUACAUAAUUUUUUUUUAUUGGUCUAGCCUUGUGUCAAAAAUUUUAUAAGAUCUUGAAUCACGUAGAUA